AAGGAGCAGAGAGGCAGAAGCAUUGUGAAUACCAUUAAAAAUCACUAUUUUCACCUCACCCAGGCCAAUUCACAGUUACAGUCUCAUUAUUAGUGCAAGAUGACUCGUUCUAAAGCCAACAACUCGAAGAAACAGAAGGGCAUUGACUUCAAGAAAAUAAGGAGAAAGGUUGGGAGGAAACUGCCACCACCUAAGAAUACAAAGAAUACUGAUAUUAAAUCUAAAG
Glycine soja is the source of this 226-nucleotide long non-coding RNA. RefSeq lists it as uncharacterized. The transcript has 3 exons. The record is from RefSeq and is a predicted model, not a curated record. Lineage: Eukaryota; Viridiplantae; Streptophyta; Magnoliopsida; Fabales; Fabaceae.